This 254-nucleotide ribosomal RNA is filed under the name uncultured bacterium. RNAcentral's name for it is "partial 16S ribosomal RNA". It matches the Rfam family "Bacterial small subunit ribosomal RNA", at positions 524 to 776 of the family's 1533-position model. The record is from RNAcentral.
UACGUAGGGUGCGAGCGUUGUCCGGAAUUAUUGGGCGUAAAGAGCUCGUAGGCGGUCUGUCGCGUCGGUCGUGAAAACUUGGGGCUUAACCCUGAGCUUGCGGUCGAUACGGGCAUGACUGGAGUUCGGCAGGGGAGACUGGAAUUCCUGGUGUAGCGGUGAAAUGCGCAGAUAUCGGGAGGAACACCAGUAGCGAAGGCGGCACUCUGGGCCGGUACUGACGCUGAGGAGCGAAAGCGUGGGGAGCGAACAGG